AUACUUACCUGGCAGGGGAGACACCAUGAUCAUGAAGGUGGUUUUCCCAGGACAAAGUUCAUCCAUUACACUCUGGAUGUGCUGACCCCUGCGAUUUCCCCAAAUGCAGGAGACUCGACUGCAUAAUCUAUGGUAGUGGGAGACUGUGUUCCUGCCUUCCCCUG
This is a small nuclear RNA of Octodon degus (degu), 164 nucleotides long. Its record names the gene U1. It matches the Rfam family "U1 spliceosomal RNA". Rfam says of the family: U1 is a small nuclear RNA (snRNA) component of the spliceosome (involved in pre-mRNA splicing). Its 5' end forms complementary base pairs with the 5' splice junction, thus defining the 5' donor site of an intron. NCBI's taxonomy places the organism in Eukaryota, Metazoa, Chordata, Mammalia, Rodentia, Octodontidae. The record is from Ensembl.